RNAcentral lists this ribosomal RNA (435 nucleotides) under uncultured bacterium. Its description in RNAcentral is "partial 16S ribosomal RNA". It matches the Rfam family "Bacterial small subunit ribosomal RNA", at positions 29 to 507 of the family's 1533-position model. The record is from RNAcentral.
AACGAACGCUGGCGGCAUGCCUAACACAUGCAAGUCGAACGAUUGCCUUCGGGUGAUAGUGGCGCACGGGUGCGUAACGCGUGGGAAUCUGCCCUUAGGUUCGGAAUAACAGCUGGAAACGGCUGCUAAUACCGGAUGAUAUCGCGAGAUCAAAGAUUUAGCGCCUGAGGAUGAGCCCGCGUUGGAUUAGGUAGUUGGUGGGGUAAAGGCCUACCAAGCCGACGAUCCAUAGCUGGUCUGAGAGGAUGAUCAGCCACACUGGGACUGAGACACGGCCCAGACUCCUACGCGAGGCAGCAGUGGGGAAUAUUGGACAGUGGGCGCAAGCCUGAACCAGCAAUGCCGCGUGAGUGAUUAAGGCCCUAGAGUUGUAAAGCUCUUUUACCCGGGAAGAUAAUGACUGUACCGGGAGAAUAAGCCCCGGCUAACUCCGUG